UAAGACGUAGGGCGCGAGCGUUGUCCGGAUUUAUUGGGCGUAAAGAGCUCGUAGGCGGCUUGUCGCGUCGGCUGUGAAAUCCCGUGGCUCAACUGCGGGUCUGCAGCCGAUACGGGCAGGCUAGAGUUCGGUAGGGGAGACUGGAAUUCCUGGUGUAGCGGUGAAAUGCGCAGAUAUCAGGAGGAACACCGAUGGCGAAGGCAGGUCUCUGGGCCGAUACUG
Molecule: ribosomal RNA, 222 nt
Filed under: uncultured bacterium
Lineage: Bacteria
Description: partial 16S ribosomal RNA
Rfam family: Bacterial small subunit ribosomal RNA
Source: RNAcentral